Molecule: long non-coding RNA, 1182 nt
Filed under: Macaca mulatta (Rhesus monkey)
Lineage: Eukaryota; Metazoa; Chordata; Mammalia; Primates; Cercopithecidae
Description: lncRNA (ENSMMUG00000059577.1)
Source: RNAcentral
GUUGAAAUUAAAAUAGCAGUCAUUCUAUAACUUGAACAAUCAUGGAUAGAGUAUAACUCUGAGGUGUUCAAUAAUAUAUGCCCUAUUAUGGAAUAUAAGAUACAUUCCCACAUUAUAUAAUAAUAUGUCACCUAGAUAGUAAGAUAUUAAGAGAGUUUCCAACAGCUAUAGAAAAGCAAAUGUAAUUAUGACAAUCCUUAGGAUCAUUCUUUAUCUACUUAACAUAUAAUGAUCUAUUAAACACCUGUGGUGCAGAGAUGGCUCUAUGACAUGGGCAUCUUCUGUGAUACAGAGGUAUUGUUGGGAAGCAUCUGGCUGUCCAGCCACAGGAUUUGUGAACAUCCUUGCACCAGGUAAGGCCAUGUUUCUGAGUUCUGGCCAAUAGAUUAUAGGCAGAACUGAUGUAUGCCACUUUAAAAACCCCUAUACUUACAAAAAUCCCUAGAGGACCAUCCACUGUCUCACUCUUCCCUGUCUGUGGACUAGAUGUUAAUGUUGAAGAUUUCCUUAGAAGCCAUUGAAAAAUUUCACAAGUUGAGGAUGGAAGAGACGUGGUCUUCUUCAAUUCCUGAGCGACAGUGUGGAUCACAUCAGGACAUUGCAUCAUAGAAAGUCUUAAAAGUUAUUCCCAGAAAAAUGAAUUCUGAUGAACACAUGCUAGAAAGAAGCAUAUUUUGAAAAGGUUUAAAAAAACUAUGAAUUUCUGUCCUGAUUUGAGACCUCAAAAAAUCAUGGAUACAUAAUGGAAUUCAUUGCCUCCGCAAGUUUCUCAGUUCUUGCCUGUCCAGAGGAAACAACUAUCAUCUUCCUCGGAAUUAAUGUAUUUGUCUGCUUCCAGCUUUAUUACAAAAGCAAAUUCGUGAAAAGUUCUAAUAGAAAAUGCAUAUCCUACAUCAUAUUGGAAGAGCCAAGGGGCUUUCUUUAACACUGAUAUUGAAAGAACAGUAGUAACACAGAACUGUAGAAGACUGUGGGAUUUUUGGUAAAGUAAAAAAGUUUUAUAUACCUCAAUACUUUCAAAUAAAUCCACUUUCAAUCUCUCAUGUAAAUGGCAAAUAAAGGGUUAUUAGUAUUUAAUUGGGCAAAUUGAUUCCUUUUAUGACAUAUUGCAGACAUCAGACUUUAUCACGAUAAAUCUGAUUUCAAAUAUCUGAAUUAAUUUUAUAAUCUGCUUAUAAUUAC